RNAcentral lists this long non-coding RNA (2836 nucleotides) under Homo sapiens (human). RNAcentral describes it as "non-protein coding lnc-LRIG2-7:1". Lineage: Eukaryota; Metazoa; Chordata; Mammalia; Primates; Hominidae. The record is from RNAcentral.
CUCAGCCUCCCGAGUAGCUGGGACUACAGGCACACGCCAUCACCUUUGACUGAUUUUUGUAUUUUUAGUAGAGACGGGGUUUGGCCAUGUUGGCCAGGCUGGUCUCGAACUCCUGACCUCAGGUGAUCCACCCACCUUGGCCUCCCAAAGUGCUGGGAUUACAGGCAUGAGCCACCACUCCCAGCCCCAAUGCUACAGGUUUUAAUAUAGCCUUUAUAAGUUUUUUACCUUUUCCAAAAUAUAUUCUUCCAUACUCUUUUCAUUCUCUUAUUUAUGGCUGACUUAACAUACUAGGAAGUGGGUGCCUGACUCACUAGAUAUGUAGCAAUUUACAAAAAAAAAGAUAAUUCUGAACACCGAAAAUUUUCACUUAACAGGCUGGGGAAUUAUCUCAGAAAAGUUUCCUUUUAUCUUAAUAGCUUUGAUUCAAGGUAUUUUUCCGCAUUAUAUGACAAGAAACUCCUAAACAACAGCUAGCCAAUACAGUUAAAAUCAUAAAUAUAUAUAUGAUGUCAAAAGAUGGUAGUUUUAGGCCAGGCGCAGUGGCUCACACCUGUAAUCCCAGCACUCUGGGAGGCAGAGGUAGGUAGAUCACCUGAGAUCAGGAGUUCGAGACCAACCUUAUCAAUAUGGUGAAACCCCAUUUCUACUAAAAAUACAAAAAUUAGCCAGGCAUGGUGGCAUGCGACUGUAGUCCCAACUACUAGGGAGGCUCAGAUAGGAGAAUCCUUGAACCCGGGAGGCGGAGGUUGCAGUGAGCCGGGAUCAUGCCACUGCACUCCAGUCUGGGCGACAGAGUAAUACUCUGUCUCAAAAAAAAAAAAAAAAAAAAAAAAGUAGUUUUAAAUCAAAGAUAACUCCUUUGUCUUGAAUUCACUUAGUACUAAUGAAUAAUGAAUAGCAUGGUUAGAAAAUGUAACCUUCUGUUACAUUUUCUAAUAAGAUUUUAAUAAGGGGCAGGUGGGAGUGAGCGUUUGGUGGUAGGUUACCUGUUUUCUCAUGAAGGUCUCCUUUACUUUAAGCCAACUUCCACCCUAUAUUACAACUUAUCCUGUAUGUUAGCAGGUCCAUUUCAAAGUACUUCCACUCAGACUAUAUUACAGCAAUGAACACAGGUCAGAGAUGACAAGUUCACUCUUGACUACCAUGUUCUUUAGUCUAUAACACAAACGCUUCUUCAUAAUAUUAGCACUCAACUCCAAAACACUGUUCCUUCCAACCCCUAUGAACACUUCAAAUACAAUUUAGGACACUGGACAUUGCGGGAGUAUGAUGAAAAUAGCUCCAUACAAGAAGUUUCCUGAAAAGCAAGGAUAUACUCACCACUUAUACACAACAUUCUACUAUAGGUUCUAGCCAGUGCAUGCAGGCAAGAAAAAGAAACAAAAGGCAUAAAGAAUGGAAAAGAAGAAAUAAAAUAGGCCAGGUGCAGUGGCUCACACUUAUAAUUCCAAUGCUUUGGAAGACCAAUGUAGGAGAAUCGUUUGAGGACAAAAAUUCAAGAACAGCCUGGACAACACAGCGAGACCCUACCUCUACAUAAAUUGUUUAAAAAUUGGGUGUGGUGGUACACAUCUGUAGUCCUAGCUACUUGGGAAGCUGAGGUGGGAGGAUCACUUGAGCCCAGGAAUUUGAGGUUACAGUGACCUAUGAUCAUGCUGCUGCACUCCAGAGCAAGACCUUGUCUCGGCCAGGUGCGGUGGCUCACACCUGUAAUCCCCAGCACUUUGGGAGGCUGAGGCGGGCGGAUCACAAGGUAAGGAAUCCAAAACCAGCCUGGCCAACAUGGUGAAACCCCGUCUCUACUAAAGAUACAAAAAAUUAGCCAAGCAUGGUGGUAUGUGCUAGCUACUUGGGAGGCUGAGGCAGGAGAAUCGCUUGAACCCAGGAGGCAGAGGUUGCAGUGAGCCGAGAUCGCGCCAUUGCACUCCAGCCUGGGUGACAAGGGGAGACUCCGUCGCAAAAAAAAAAAAAAAAAAAGGCCUGUCUCUAAAAAAUAAAUAAUAAAUAAAGUUGUUUUUAUUCAGAUGACAGAUAUGUAUAAAGAAAACCCUAAGGAACAUCAAAUAAGUGAAUUUGACUAGGUCUUAGGAUACAACAUCAAUACACAGAAAUCAAUUGUAUUUCUAUAUAUUAACAAUGAACAAUCCAAAUAUGAAAACAUUUUUAAAUGCUAUUGUAAAUGGUAAACUAUAUAGAAAUAAAUCUCACAAAAGAUGUAUGAGAUAUGUACACUGAAAACUAUAAUACUGAGAAGUUAAAAUAGAUAACCUAUCCUCUCGGACUGAAAGACUCAAUAUUUAAAUCAAGCAAAGAUUUCUGAAGGAACAUAAAGAAACAACUAUAAAAAAAGUUGGCCGGGCGCAGUGGCUCACGCCUGUAAUCCCAGCACUUUGGGAGGCUGAGGCGGGAGGAUCACGAGGUCAGGAGUUUGAGAUCAACCUGGCUGUCUCUACUAAAAAUACAAAAAUUAGCUGGGUGUGGUACUCCAGCAUGGCCGACACAGCGAGACUGCGUCUCAAAAAAAAAAAAAAAAAAGUUUUAAAAUUAGACUUCAAAAUAUAUGCAAAAUAAUAUACUCAAGAAAAGACAUACCCAGAACAUAAAAAGAACUUGCACAACGAUAGCAAAAAGGCAAAUCACCCAGCUUAAAAAAAAAGCAAAAGAUCUAAACAGGUGCUUCACCAAAGAUACAUGAAUGAUAAACAAGCACAUGUAAAGAUGCUGAAUGUCGUUGGUUAUUUAAAAAUGCAAAUUAAAAUCACAAUCUAAUACAUACCUACUAAAAAUAAGACAGAUAAUUCCAUGACUUUGUGGGGUUAUAAAGCCAAUGGAA